GAUGAACGCUGGCGGCGUGCCUAAUACAUGCAAGUCGAGCGAAUAGAUGAGGAGCUUGCUCCUCUGACGUUAGCGGCGGACGGGUGAGUAACACGUGGAUAACCUACCUAUAAGACUGGGAUAACUUCGGGAAACCGGAGCUAAUACCGGAUAAUAUAUUGAACCGCAUGGUUCAAUAGUGAAAGACGGUUUUGCUGUCACUUAUAGAUGGAUCCGCGCCGCAUUAGCUAGUUGGUAAGGUAACGGCUUGCCAAGGCAACGAUGCGUAGCCGACCUGAGAGGGUGAUCGGCCACACUGGAACUGAGACACGGUCCAGACUCCUACGGGAGGCAGCAGUAGGGAAUCUUCCGCAAUGGGCGAAAGCCUGACGGAGCAACGCCGCGUGAGUGAUGAAGGUCUUCGGAUCGUAAAACUCUGUUAUUAGGGAAGAACAAAUGUGUAAGUAACUAUGCACGUCUUGACGGUACCUAAUCAGAAAGCCACGGCUAACUACGUG
This 497-nucleotide ribosomal RNA is filed under the name uncultured bacterium. Its description in RNAcentral is "partial 16S ribosomal RNA". It matches the Rfam family "Bacterial small subunit ribosomal RNA", at positions 28 to 507 of the family's 1533-position model. The record is from RNAcentral.